Molecule: transfer RNA, 69 nt
Filed under: Kaloula borealis (Manchurian narrowmouth toad)
Lineage: Eukaryota; Metazoa; Chordata; Amphibia; Anura; Microhylidae
Description: tRNA-Glu
Rfam family: tRNA
About the family: Transfer RNA (tRNA) molecules are approximately 80 nucleotides in length.
Source: RNAcentral
GUUUUUGUAGUUGAAGUACAACAACAGUUUUUCAUGCUGUAGGUCUAGGUUGAAGUCCUGGCAGGAAUA